AGAGUUUGAUCAUGGCUCAGAACGAACGCUGGCGGCGUGCCUAACACAUGCAAGUCGCGCGCGAAAGUCUUCGGAUGAGUAGAGCGGCGCACGGGUGAGUAACACGUGGGUAAUCUACCCUUAGGAUCGGGAUAACCCAGGGAAACUUGGGCUAAUACUGGAUAAUACUGCAGGACGAGAGUCGUGCAGGAAAAGCAGAGGACCUCUUCGGAGGCUUUGUACCAAAGGAUGAGCCCGCGGCCCAUCAGCUAGUUGGCGGGGUAAUGGCCCACCAAGGCUAAGACGGGUAGCUGGUCUGAGAGGAUGAUCAGCCACACUGGAACUGAGACACGGUCCAGACUCCUACGGGAGGCAGCAGUGGGGAAUCUUGCGCAAUGGGCGAAAGCCUGACGCAGCAACGCCGCGUGAGUGAUGAAGGUCUUCGGAUCGUAAAGCUCUGUCGGCAGGAACGAUGGACGGGUUGGCUAACAUCCAACAAGUCUGACGGUACCUGCAAAGGAAGCACCGGCUAACUCUGUGCCAGCAGCCGCGGUAAGACAGAGGGUGCAAGCGUUGUUCGGAAUUAUUGGGCGUAAAGGGCGCGUAGGCGGCCUCGUAAGUCAGAUGUGAAAGCCCUGGGCUUAACCCAGGAAGUGCAUCUGAUACUGCAAGGCUUGAGUCCUGGAGAGGGGUGGAAUUCCCAGUGUAGAGGUGAAAUUCGUAGAUAUUGGGAGGAACACCGGUGGCGAAGGCGACCACCUGGACAGAGACUGACGCUGAGGCGCGAAAGCGUGGGGAGCAAACAGGAUUAGAUACCCCCGUAGUCC
This 806-nucleotide ribosomal RNA is filed under the name uncultured bacterium. RNAcentral's name for it is "bacterial SSU rRNA". It matches the Rfam family "Bacterial small subunit ribosomal RNA", at positions 8 to 796 of the family's 1533-position model. The record is from RNAcentral.